Lethenteron reissneri (Far Eastern brook lamprey) is the source of this 1119-nucleotide long non-coding RNA. RefSeq lists it as uncharacterized. The record is from RefSeq and is a predicted model, not a curated record. Lineage: Eukaryota; Metazoa; Chordata; Hyperoartia; Petromyzontiformes; Petromyzontidae.
GCCGUUAGCUUUGUGUCCUUUAUUUAACCAAGGUGUGAGCCGAUUAAGUUUGGGGCCAAGUUCAUGUUAUUUGUGGAAAGGCAUUUUCUGAGGAAUUCUAAUGGUCCUUGUGGAAUUACUGAUUAUACAAAUGCAAUGUACUGGGCUUGUGGUUUAUGAUAUUUGGGGAUUGUUUUAGAUAGAGAUGGGAAAGCCUGUAAAAUAUUUUAAUGAAUUGUACAUUUUUGUGGUUGUGCUGGCACGAUUUUUAAAUGUGGUCCCAAAUAGACAGUGCUAAAAGUCUGUGUUUGUAAUGUUUUUAUUUAGUUGUUUUUGAGUUUGUAGUGAUUUUUAAGUUGCUGUUUUUCAGAUAUGACAGCAAGAUAAACGAGAAGACACCAAUUAUAGGAGUUCAAAGGUCAAAUUGUACAGGUUGGACAUUUAAGAUUGAGAGACAAAACAGUUUUCAGUGUAUGAUAAUAGAGCAAUAAUAGUUUAUAUAUAUAUAGAAAUGUUUACUUGGUUAUCUGACGAGUGUGUAUGUUGUCUCAUCAGAUAAUUUGUCUGCGUUCGGCAUUGAUGACACAGUUGAGUGUCCAUUAACGCAGCAGGCAAUACAGAGGAUCCUCACAAAGUGGACUUCGCUUGCGCUAUGGGAUAGCUUCCAGCAAAUCCCUCCGGCUAUCCAAAACACUGGCCCCAGCCAAGGCAACUCCACGGAAAACACAUCGAUAAGAUUGACAACUCCGCAACAGCCAAGCUUGGAAGGGGUUCGCAAGGCCACGAAGGAAGGUGGUGGUGUUCAGGAUUCUGGACAGACCCAGGUUGUGCUGAAGAAAGCUCGGGUUGAUCUGGUAGUGCGGGCAAACUGCAAGAACAGCACUGCCCUGGUCAGGCACUCGGUGAAGGAGCGCCAACGCAGGGGGCGAAUCAAGCAUUGCUGCAUCAACAUGAACAGCCUGCUGCCUUCGAACACCAUAAAGAGACCCGAUAUGGCCUCUGUAUUGGAAGCCGCUGUCUCCUACUUGCACCUUGUCCUACCCCUGGUCUCGGCCCAGCACAUGCAGCAGUUUGCUGAUUACCUGCAGAGCAAUAAGAACUACCACCGGGUGACCAAACUGCCAAAGGCACAAAAGGACC